ACCUACGGGACGCAGCAGUGAGGAAUAUUGGUCAAUGGGCGGGAGCCUGAACCAGCAAAGCCGCGUGAGGGAAGAAGGUACAGCGUAUCGUAAACCUCUUUUGUCAGGGAACAAAGGCGGGGACUAGUCCCCGGAUGAGGGUACCUGAAGAAAAAGCAUCGGCUAACUCCGUGCCAGCAGCCGCGGUAAUACGGAGGAUGCGAGCGUUAUCCGGAUUUAUUGGGUUUAAAGGGUGCGCAGGCGGAAUGUCAAGUCAGCAGUAAAAUUUCGGGGCUCAACCCCGUCGUGCCGUUGAAACUGGCGUU
RNAcentral lists this ribosomal RNA (305 nucleotides) under uncultured bacterium. Its description in RNAcentral is "bacterial SSU rRNA". It matches the Rfam family "Bacterial small subunit ribosomal RNA", at positions 337 to 640 of the family's 1533-position model. The record is from RNAcentral.